GUCUGGCCUGCUCACUGAUAUUUUAAAGAGCCGCGGUAUUUUGACCGUGCAAAGGUAGCAUAAUCAUUAGUCUCUUAAUUAGAGGCUGGAAUGAAUGGCUCGACGAGAAAUCAACUGUCUCUUAAUAAGUUUUAGAACUUAACUUUUAAGUUAAAAGGCUUAAAUUUUUCUUUAGGACGAGAAGACCCUAUAGAGCUUUACAUUUAAUUUUUAUAUAAUUUUAUGUUAGUCUUUUUAUAUUAAAUGCUAAUGUUUUGUUGGGGUGACAUAAGGAAUUAAUAAACUCCUUGUUAUUAAAUCAUUAAUUUAUGUUUAUUUGAUCCAUAAUUUAUGAUCAUAAGAUUAAGUUACCUUAGGGAUAACAGCGUAAUUGUUUUUGAGAGCUCAUAUCGACAAAGCAGAUUGCGACCUCGAUGUUGGAUUAAGAAAAAUUCUAGGUGCAGUAGUCUAGUAAUUAGGUCUGUUCGACCUUUAAAUUCUUACG
This 484-nucleotide ribosomal RNA is filed under the name Dociostaurus dantini. RNAcentral's name for it is "partial 16S ribosomal RNA". It matches the Rfam family "Archaeal large subunit ribosomal RNA", at positions 1944 to 2669 of the family's 2987-position model. Lineage: Eukaryota; Metazoa; Arthropoda; Insecta; Orthoptera; Acrididae. The record is from RNAcentral.